Molecule: ribosomal RNA, 253 nt
Filed under: uncultured bacterium
Lineage: Bacteria
Description: partial 16S ribosomal RNA
Rfam family: Bacterial small subunit ribosomal RNA
Source: RNAcentral
UACGGGGGGGGCAAGCGUUGUUCGGAAUUACUGGGCGUAAGGGGCUCGUAGGCGGCCAACUAAGUCAGACGUGAAAUCCCUCGGCUUAACCGGGGAACUGCGUCUGAUACUGGAUGGCUUGAGUGUGGGAGAGGGAUGCGGAAUUCCAGGUGUAGCGGUGAAAUGCGUAGAUAUCUGGAGGAACACCGGUGGCGAAGGCGGCAUCCUGGACCACGACUGACGCUGAGGAGCGAAAGCCAGGGGAGCAAACGGG